This 68-nucleotide transfer RNA is filed under the name bovine gut metagenome. It matches the Rfam family "tRNA". From Rfam's summary of the family: Transfer RNA (tRNA) molecules are approximately 80 nucleotides in length. Their secondary structure includes four short double-helical elements and three loops (D, anti-codon, and T loops). The record is from RNAcentral.
CGGAAUAGCUCAGUCGGUAGAGCGACGCAUUCGUAAUGCGUAGGUCGCGGGUUCGAGUCCCAUUUCCG